Long non-coding RNA from Dermacentor albipictus, 181 nucleotides. RefSeq lists it as uncharacterized. The record is from RefSeq and is a predicted model, not a curated record. NCBI's taxonomy places the organism in Eukaryota, Metazoa, Arthropoda, Arachnida, Ixodida, Ixodidae.
GACACAGCCAGCUACCUUCUCCGCUGCAACGCGCAUCGCUGCUCCUCUCGAAGACCUACGCCUAGCACGUGUUUUGCCUGAGUGACAACUCGACCGAGCAGCCUAGUGACAAUCAUGGAUGAAAGUGACAUGUCCACUAUGGAAGCCAAUACGGUGAACCCAGAGUCGUCGCACACAACAC